This 606-nucleotide long non-coding RNA is filed under the name Helianthus annuus (common sunflower). RNAcentral describes it as "hypothetical non coding rna". Lineage: Eukaryota; Viridiplantae; Streptophyta; Magnoliopsida; Asterales; Asteraceae. The record is from RNAcentral.
UUUUCGCAAUCUGAAACCCUAGUUCCCAAAUCCAUCUAUUCUCACCUUUUCCAAUUUGUUACUUUGAUUCGCAUUGGCUCGUAUGAAGCAGACCGUUCGUAAGUCCACCGGUGGAAAGGCUCAAAGGAAGCAACUCGCUACCAAGCUGUUAAGAAAUCUGCUCCAACAACUGGAGGAGUGAAGACGCCUCAUCGUUAUCGUUCUGGAACUGUCACACUACGGUGAAUUGGCCAAACAUGCUGUUUCCGAGGUUACUAAGGCUGUUACCAAGUUUACUAGCGCUUAGAGGAGAUUGGUUUGUUGGGUUAGGUUUUGUUUGGUUUAUGUAACUGGAUUUUGGUAAUUUGAUGUAAAGCUAGUUAAUGUUCAUUUAUUAGUUUGAGGUGCCUUGAAGUUGGACCGGAAGAAGAAGACAACAAGUAGAGAAAUAUGCUAUGACCGGAAAAUUGAAGAAAGUUUGUUUAUACACACUUAAAUGAAAGGGAGACUAGAAUUGUUGUCAGAUAAUACAUUACAAAAUAAUGUUCUUUAAUAUUGAAAUUAGGUGUAUGGUUUUUGUGUAGUUUGGAUUUUAUUGUGUUAUUUGAAUAAGUUGGUAUUUUAAUU